UAGUAUAACUCUGGAGAUGACGUCGAGGACGGCAACAAAGAGUCCUUCAUUGAGAAGGAAGCUCAGAAGAUCAGGAAGAAGGGGAAGGCGGCGUACUACAAGAGAGGAAUGUUCAGAUGCCCAUACUGCACCACAAAGCCAAAGCCCAAGGAUGGGAUUUAUGAACACCUCAUGUCGCAUGCACGCGGUUUAGCAACGAGUGCUG
This 205-nucleotide long non-coding RNA is filed under the name Hordeum vulgare. Its description in RNAcentral is "long non-coding RNA (HVUL_LNC005619)". Lineage: Eukaryota; Viridiplantae; Streptophyta; Magnoliopsida; Poales; Poaceae. The record is from RNAcentral.